Molecule: microRNA, 20 nt
Filed under: Corchorus olitorius
Lineage: Eukaryota; Viridiplantae; Streptophyta; Magnoliopsida; Malvales; Malvaceae
Description: ath-miR50
Source: RNAcentral
UAAGAAGAAGAAGAAGAAAA